Long non-coding RNA from Gasterosteus aculeatus aculeatus (three-spined stickleback), 826 nucleotides. The record is from Ensembl. Lineage: Eukaryota; Metazoa; Chordata; Actinopteri; Perciformes; Gasterosteidae.
GAAAGUAUGGAUGUAGUUAAAGGGUGGAUGUAGUUAAAGGGUGGAUGUAGUUAAAGUAUGGAUGUAGUUAAAGGGUGGAUGUAGUUAAAGGGUGACCUGAAUGAAGCUCAGUGGUGGUAACGGACUCACAAAGCUACAAACACAGCAGCCCUGCAGUGAGACCCAGACAACACCGGGUCACAAACAACCAUCCAACAUGCUCCUGUAGCUGUGACUACAGCGUGUGGAUGGUAGUGACUGAUGGACAGGUGUCACUGUGUGUGGUUCACCUGUCAUCAGGGGGUCAAUGAUGUCAUGUAGUGUUAAAGCGCUUUGAGUGGUCAGAAGACAAGUGCUAUACAAGUACAGUCCAUUUACCUCAGUGGCCCCUCAGUGGUCCCUCAGUGGUCCCUCAGUGGCCCCUCAGUGGUCCCUCAGUGGUUCCUCAGUGGUCCCUCAGUAGUCCCUCAGUGGCCCCUCAGUGGUCCCUCAGUGGUCCCUCAGUGGCCCCUCAGUGGUCCCUCAGUGGUCCCUCAGUGUAGCCUCAGUGGUCCCUCAGUGUGCCCUCAGUGGUCCCUCAGUGGUUCCUCAGUGGUCCCUCAGUGGCCCCUCAGUGGUCCCUCAGUGGUCCCUCAGUGGUCCCUCAGUGGCCCCUCAGUGGUCCCUCAGUGGCCCCUCAGUGGUCCCUCAGUGGUCCUUCAGUGGGCCCUCAUGGGCCUCACAGGCUUCUGUCAGCUGUCAGAGAGUAAACAUCAUUUCCUCUGAUGUAAAUAACAUUUGAAAGGCGCUGCUCUUGUCGUUGUGCAUCAGUUCGAAUGGAUUGUUUGUAAAUAAAUGUGACCUGUGA